Molecule: ribosomal RNA, 346 nt
Filed under: uncultured Glomus
Lineage: Eukaryota; Fungi; Glomeromycota; Glomeromycetes; Glomerales; Glomeraceae
Description: SSU rRNA
Rfam family: Eukaryotic small subunit ribosomal RNA
Source: RNAcentral
AGCAGCCGCGGUAAUUCCAGCUCCAAUAGCGUAUAUUAAAGUUGUUGCAGUUAAAAAGCUCGUAGUUGAACUUCGGGAUCAAUGGAUCGGUCAUGCCAUCGGUAUGUACUGGUCUCAUUGGUUCUCACCUUCUAAGGAACCAUAAUGUCAUUCAUUUGAUGUUUUGGGGAAUUAGGACUGUUACCUUGAAAAAUUAGAGUGUUUAAAGCAGGCUAACGCUUGAAUACAUUAGCAUGGAAUAAUGAAAUAGGACAUCGCAUUCUAUUUUGUUGGUUUCUAGGAUCGAUGUAAUGAUUAAUAGGGAUAGUUGGGGCAUUAGUAUUCAAUUGUCAGAGGUGAAAUUCUU